This 253-nucleotide ribosomal RNA is filed under the name uncultured bacterium. RNAcentral describes it as "partial 16S ribosomal RNA". It matches the Rfam family "Bacterial small subunit ribosomal RNA", at positions 524 to 776 of the family's 1533-position model. The record is from RNAcentral.
UACGUAGGGGCCGAGCGUUGUCCGGAGUUACUGGGCGUAAAGCGCGCGCAGGCGGCCACGUUGGCCUGGCGUGAAAGCCCCCGGCUCAACCGGGGAACGUCGUCGGGGACCGCGUGGCUUGAGGACGGCAGGGGCUGGUGGAAUGCCCGGUGUAGUGGUGAAAUGCGUAGAGAUCGGGCGGAACACCCGUGGCGAAGGCGGCCAGCUGGGCCGUUCCUGACGCUGAGGCGCGAAGGCGUGGGGAGCGAACGGG